RNAcentral lists this ribosomal RNA (1128 nucleotides) under Bacillus pumilus. Its description in RNAcentral is "bacterial SSU rRNA". It matches the Rfam family "Bacterial small subunit ribosomal RNA", at positions 45 to 1164 of the family's 1533-position model. The record is from RNAcentral. Lineage: Bacteria; Bacillati; Bacillota; Bacilli; Caryophanales; Bacillaceae.
UGCUAUACAUGCAAGUCGAGCGGACAGAAGGGAGCUUGCUCCCGGAUGUUAGCGGCGGACGGGUGAGUAACACGUGGGUAACCUGCCUGUAAGACUGGGAUAACUCCGGGAAACCGGAGCUAAUACCGGAUAGUUCCUUGAACCGCAUGGUUCAAGGAUGAAAGACGGUUUCGGCUGUCACUUACAGAUGGACCCGCGGCGCAUUAGCUAGUUGGUGAGGUAACGGCUCACCAAGGCGACGAUGCGUAGCCGACCUGAGAGGGUGAUCGGCCACACUGGGACUGAGACACGGCCCAGACUCCUACGGGAGGCAGCAGUAGGGAAUCUUCCGCAAUGGACGAAAGUCUGACGGAGCAACGCCGCGUGAGUGAUGAAGGUUUUCGGAUCGUAAAGCUCUGUUGUUAGGGAAGAACAAGUGCAAGAGUAACUGCUUGCACCUUGACGGUACCUAACCAGAAAGCCACGGCUAACUACGUGCCAGCAGCCGCGGUAAUACGUAGGUGGCAAGCGUUGUCCGGAAUUAUUGGGCGUAAAGGGCUCGCAGGCGGUUUCUUAAGUCUGAUGUGAAAGCCCCCGGCUCAACCGGGGAGGGUCAUUGGAAACUGGGAAACUUGAGUGCAGAAGAGGAGAGUGGAAUUCCACGUGUAGCGGUGAAAUGCGUAGAGAUGUGGAGGAACACCAGUGGCGAAGGCGACUCUCUGGUCUGUAACUGACGCUGAGGAGCGAAAGCGUGGGGAGCGAACAGGAUUAGAUACCCUGGUAGUCCACGCCGUAAACGAUGAGUGCUAAGUGUUAGGGGGUUUCCGCCCCUUAGUGCUGCAGCUAACGCAUUAAGCACUCCGCCUGGGGAGUACGGUCGCAAGACUGAAACUCAAAGGAAUUGACGGGGGCCCGCACAAGCGGUGGAGCAUGUGGUUUAAUUCGAAGCAACGCGAAGAACCUUACCAGGUCGUGACAUCCUCUGACAACCCUAGAGAUAGGGCUUUCCUUUCGGCGACAGAGUGACAGAUGGUGCAUGGUUGUCGUCAGCUCCUGUCCUGAGAUGUUGGGUUAAGUUCCGAAAACACCGCAACCUUGAGCUCGUUGCAUCAAUCAGUUGGCACUCUAAGGGGAACUCCCGGUGACACC